CCUACGGGUGGCAGCAGUCGAGAAUCAUUCACAAUGGGGGAAACCCUGAUGGUGCGACGCCGCAUGGGGGAAUGAAGGUCUUCGGAUUGUAAACCCCUGUCAUGUGGGAGCAAAUUAAAAAGAUAGUACCACAAGAGGAAGAGACGGCUAACUCUGUGCCAGCAGCCGCGGUAAUACAGAGGUCUCAAGCGUUGUUCGGAUUCAGUGGGUGUAAGGCGUGCAUAGGAUGUUUCGUAAGGAGUGUGUAAAAGGGGCGGGCUCAACCCGCGGACGGCAUAUGAUUCUGCGGGACUAGAGUAAUGGAGGGGGAACCGGAAUUCUCGGUGUAGCAGUGAAAUG
This 339-nucleotide ribosomal RNA is filed under the name uncultured bacterium. RNAcentral's name for it is "partial 16S ribosomal RNA". It matches the Rfam family "Bacterial small subunit ribosomal RNA", at positions 338 to 688 of the family's 1533-position model. The record is from RNAcentral.